GAGGGUAUAGCUCAGUGGUAGAAUGUAGCUCAGCAUGCACGAGGUCCUGGGUUCAAUCCCCAGUACCUCCA
This 71-nucleotide transfer RNA is filed under the name Camelus bactrianus (Bactrian camel). It matches the Rfam family "tRNA". Rfam says of the family: Transfer RNA (tRNA) molecules are approximately 80 nucleotides in length. Their secondary structure includes four short double-helical elements and three loops (D, anti-codon, and T loops). Lineage: Eukaryota; Metazoa; Chordata; Mammalia; Artiodactyla; Camelidae. The record is from Rfam by way of RNAcentral. RNAcentral also lists the same sequence under 2 other names.